CUUCGCCUGAGGUGUGCGUUGUUCGUUACGUCCCUGAGCCGAUAUUUAAACUCCUUAAGUUGGACUUUCAAACUGUUGGUGAGCAGGCUCGCUUGCGAGAAGCCUAAAAAUGGUUAUGUUCGACUGCCUUGAACCUUUUGGUUCAAGGACCAUUACGGAUAACGGCACUUCGGGUACUCU
This 180-nucleotide non-coding RNA is filed under the name Pasteurellaceae bacterium RH1A. RNAcentral's name for it is "6S / SsrS RNA". It matches the Rfam family "6S / SsrS RNA". From Rfam's summary of the family: E. coli 6S RNA was the first non coding RNA to be sequenced, but its function was unknown until recently. It consists of 184 nucleotides that fold into an extended hairpin structure with a large single-stranded internal bulge. The record is from Rfam by way of RNAcentral. Lineage: Bacteria; Pseudomonadati; Pseudomonadota; Gammaproteobacteria; Pasteurellales; Pasteurellaceae.